AGCGAACUUUGGCGGUAGGCUUUACACAUGCAAGUCGAGCGAGGCGUAAUAGUCGAGCGGCGAACGGGUGAGUAAUACAUGGGAAUCUACCCUGAAGUGGGGGAUAACGUUCAGAAAUGAACGCUAAUACCGCACAAUCCACAUUGGGAAAGCGCGCUGCGCUUUAGGAUGAGCCCAAGCCUGAUUAGCUAGUUGGUGGGGUAACGGCCCACCAAGGCGACGAUCAGUAGCUGGUCUGAGAGGAUGAUCAGCCACACUGGAACUGAGACACGGUCCAGACUCCUACGGGAGGCAGCAGUGGGGAAUCUUGCGCAAUGGGGGCAGCCCUGACGCAGCCAUACCGCGUGUGCGAUGAAGGUCUUCGGAUUGUAAAGCACUUUCAGUAGGGACGACGAUGACGGUACCUACAGAAGAAGUCACGGCUAACUUCGUGCCAGCCGCCGCCGUAA
This 449-nucleotide ribosomal RNA is filed under the name uncultured bacterium. Its description in RNAcentral is "partial 16S ribosomal RNA". It matches the Rfam family "Bacterial small subunit ribosomal RNA", at positions 29 to 523 of the family's 1533-position model. The record is from RNAcentral.